CAGAGGUAGCAAGCGUUGUUCGGAAUGACUGGGUGUAAAGCGCGUGUAGGUGGUUUAGUAAGUUGAAUGUGAAAUCCAUUGGCUUAACCAAUGAACUGCAUUCAAAACUGCUUUACUUGAGUACGGGAGAGGGAAGUGGAAUUUCUGGUGUAGCGGUAAAAUGCGUAGAUAUCAGAAGGAACACCGGUGGCGAAAGCGACUUCCUGGUCCGUAACUGACACUGAGACGCGAAAGCUAGGGGAGCAAACAGGAUUAGAUACCCUGGUAGUCCUAGCCGUAAACGAUGUACACUAGGUGUGUCCCGGUUAACGGGAUGUGCCGAAGCUAACGCAUUAAGUGUACCACCUGGGGAGUACGGUCGCAAGAUUA
Molecule: ribosomal RNA, 369 nt
Filed under: uncultured prokaryote
Description: bacterial SSU rRNA
Rfam family: Bacterial small subunit ribosomal RNA
Source: RNAcentral